AUCCUGGCUCAAGGAUGAACGCUAGCGGCAGGCUUAACACAUGCAAGUCGAGGGGCAGCAUGAUGAAACUUUCGGGUUUCAUUGAUGGCGACCGGCGCAAGGGUGCGUAACGCGUGAGCAACUUGCCCUUAUCAGGGGGAUAACCGGUGGAAACGCCGACUAAUACCCCAUAGUAUCAACUUUAGGCAUCUUUAGUUGAUUAAAGAAUUUCGGAUAAGGAUAGGCUCGCGUGACAUUAGCUAGAUGGCGGGGUAACGGCCCACCAUGGCGACGAUGUCUAGGGGUUCUGAGAGGAAGGUCCCCCACACUGGAACUGAGACACGGUCCAGACUCCUACGGGAGGCAGCAGUGAGGAAUAUUGGUCAAUGGUCGAAGGACUGAACCAGCCAUGCCGCGUGAAGGUGACGGCCCUAUGGGUCUUAAACUUCUUUUGUAAGGGAGCAAUAAGGUCUACGUGUAGGCUGAUGAGAGUACCUUACGAAUAAGCAUCGGCUAACUCCGUG
RNAcentral lists this ribosomal RNA (503 nucleotides) under uncultured bacterium. RNAcentral's name for it is "bacterial SSU rRNA". It matches the Rfam family "Bacterial small subunit ribosomal RNA", at positions 16 to 507 of the family's 1533-position model. The record is from RNAcentral.